RNAcentral lists this ribosomal RNA (292 nucleotides) under uncultured bacterium. RNAcentral's name for it is "partial 16S ribosomal RNA". It matches the Rfam family "Bacterial small subunit ribosomal RNA", at positions 505 to 796 of the family's 1533-position model. The record is from RNAcentral.
GUGUCAGCCGCCGCGGUAAUACAGAGGUCCCAAGCGUUGUUCGGAUUUACUGGGCGUAAAGGGUGCGUAGGUGGUUGGGUAAGUCUGAUGUGAAAUCUCCGGGCUCAACCCGGAAAUGGCAUUGGAUACUAUUCGACUAGAGGGUUGGAGGGGGGACUGGAAUACUUGGUGUAGCAGUGAAAUGCGUAGAUAUCGAGAGGAACACCUGUGGCGAAAGCGGCGCACUGGACCACAACUGACGCUGAGGCGCGAAAGCUAGGGGAGCAAACAGGAUUAGAAACCCGUGUAGUCC